RNAcentral lists this unclassified non-coding RNA (336 nucleotides) under soil metagenome. RNAcentral's name for it is "partial contains 5.8S ribosomal RNA, internal transcribed spacer 2, and large subunit ribosomal RNA". The stretch from base 1 to 120 matches the Rfam family "5.8S ribosomal RNA", at positions 35 to 154 of the family's 154-position model. The record is from RNAcentral.
GAUGAAGAACGCAGCGAAAUGCGAUAAGUAAUGUGAAUUGCAGAAUUCAGUGAAUCAUCGAAUCUUUGAACGCACAUUGCGCCCGCCAGUAUUCUGGCGGGCAUGCCUGUUCGAGCGUCAUUUCAACCAUCAAGCCCCCGGCUUGUGUUGGGGACCUGCGGCUGCCGCAGGCCCUGAAAAGCAGUGGCGGGCUCGCUGUCACACCGAGCGUAGUAGCAUACAUCUCGCUCUGGGCGUGCUGCUGGUUCCGGCCGUUAAACCACCUUCAUAACCCAAGGUUGACCUCGGAUCAGGUAGGAAGACCCGCUGAACUUAAGCAUAUCAAUAAGCGGAGGA